This 179-nucleotide unclassified non-coding RNA is filed under the name Sporothrix sp. Its description in RNAcentral is "internal trancribed spacer 1". The record is from RNAcentral. Lineage: Eukaryota; Fungi; Ascomycota; Sordariomycetes; Ophiostomatales; Ophiostomataceae.
CAGAGUUACACAACUCCAACCCUUGUGAACCAUACCCAAAUCGUUCUCGUUGCUUCCGGCGGGGGGGACGGGGGGGCCUGAAAACGGCCCGCCCGCCCCGCCCGCCGGGGGCCGCGGGCCCUACGAACCUUUAUAUCUCAACCACCAGAAACCGUCUGAGGAUACAAAACAAAUAAUCA